RNAcentral lists this ribosomal RNA (724 nucleotides) under uncultured Staphylococcus sp. Its description in RNAcentral is "bacterial SSU rRNA". It matches the Rfam family "Bacterial small subunit ribosomal RNA", at positions 61 to 767 of the family's 1533-position model. The record is from RNAcentral. Lineage: Bacteria; Bacillati; Bacillota; Bacilli; Caryophanales; Staphylococcaceae.
GCCGAGCGAACAGACGAGGAGCUUGCUCCUCUGACGUUAGCGGCGGACGGGUGAGUAACACGUGGAUAACCUACCUAUAAGACUGGGAUAACUUCGGGAAACCGGAGCUAAUACCGGAUAAUAUAUUGAACCGCAUGGUUCAAUAGUGAAAGACGGUUUUGCUGUCACUUAUAGAUGGAUCCGCGCCGCAUUAGCUAGUUGGUAAGGUAACGGCUUACCAAGGCAACGAUGCGUAGCCGACCUGAGAGGGUGAUCGGCCACACUGGAACUGAGACACGGUCCAGACUCCUACGGGAGGCAGCAGUAGGGAAUCUUCCGCAAUGGGCGAAAGCUUGACGGAGCAACGCCGCGUGAGUGAUGAAGGUCUUCGGAUCGUAAAACUCUGUUAUUAGGGAAGAACAAAUGUGUAAGUAACUAUGCACGUCUUGACGGUACCUAAUCAGAAAGCCACGGCUAACUACGUGCCAGCAGCCGAGGUAAUACGUAGGUGGCAAGCGUUAUCCGGAAUUAUUGGGCGUAAGGCGCGCGUAGGCGGUUUUUUAAGUCUGAUGUGAAAGCCCACGGCUCAACCGUGGAGGGUCAUUGGAAACUGGAAAACUUGAGUGCAGAAGAGGAAAGUGGAAUUCCAUGUGUAGCGGUGAAAUGCGCAGAGAUAUGGAGGAACACCAGUGGCGAAGGCGACUUUCUGGUCUGUAACUGACGCUGAUGUGCGAAAGCGUGGGGA